GAUUCUGCCGACCGUUCAGGUUACAAUGCGCCUGGUGGGUACCAAGGGCGUGUAAAUGAAGCCGGUCAAGGUUUCCAAAACCCACAAGAGCGCAGGAGUUUCUCGCAAGGACAGGCAGGAGAUCUCAGGCCUGGUGGCCCUUCUGCACCUGGAAACUAUGGUCAACCGCCUGCACCUGGAAACUAUGGUCAACCGCCUGCACCUGGAAACUAUGGUCAACCGCCUGCACCUGGAAACUAUGGUCAACCGCCUGCACCUGGAAACUACGGUCAACCGCCUGCACCUGGAUCCUACGGGAAGCCAGCUUAUGGGCAACCGUCUGGAUCGAGAUAUCCUGGAGGUAACCUAGGGGGUCCUGCUUAUGGUGGAGACAACAGACAGGGUGCAGCACCUGCAUAUGGGGGAGAUAACUCACAAGGGGCUUCCGAUCAG
This 432-nucleotide long non-coding RNA is filed under the name Hordeum vulgare. RNAcentral describes it as "long non-coding RNA (HVUL_LNC008798)". Lineage: Eukaryota; Viridiplantae; Streptophyta; Magnoliopsida; Poales; Poaceae. The record is from RNAcentral.